GGAGCUUUAGCUCAGUUGGGAGAGCAUCCAGCUCAUAACUGGACGGUCGCAUGUUCAAGUCAUGCAAGCUCCA
This 73-nucleotide transfer RNA is filed under the name Blautia sp. AF17-9LB. RNAcentral's name for it is "tRNA-Met". It matches the Rfam family "tRNA". Rfam says of the family: Transfer RNA (tRNA) molecules are approximately 80 nucleotides in length. Their secondary structure includes four short double-helical elements and three loops (D, anti-codon, and T loops). Lineage: Bacteria; Bacillati; Bacillota; Clostridia; Lachnospirales; Lachnospiraceae. RNAcentral also lists the same sequence under 1 other name. The record is from RNAcentral.